GGCUGGGAGGUGUUAGCGAGCAGGCUGGCCUGGACGAUCUGGAAGGAAGUGAGCAACGGAGGGAGGACCACAAGCUUUGUAUGGGGGACCCCGCCGGGCGGAGCAGCGGGGCAGCAAGUGGGUUCCCGGCACAGGAGGAGGCCCUGGGAAGCUGCAGGCGAGUCGAGGGGCAGGAUUCCUUCUUCUGCUCAGAGCGCAGGUCGGAGCAGGCAGCUAGGAGCCCGCGCGCUGUGGGCCGGAGCCCCGCUGCUCCUGGAACCAGACACGCAGGCUUCCCGGGAAGGGAGAGGAGAAGAAAGGGGGCAGUGUGGGCUCGGGAAAUGCAGCUUGUCGCUGAUUUGUGCCUGAUGCUCGCUGUCCGUCAGCAGCCUCCCUUACACUCUCCCCCCCCCUUUUUUUUUUUUUGCCUUCUCCGUCUUCACUGAGCCUAGGGGAGCCAGCAAAGAUUAAAUGUGCUUUCUCAAAGGCAGCCACUUCAUGCUGCCAUGUCGAACGAGCCAUUAUUAUUUUUAUUUUUGAUAGUAAAGGAAAAAGGAGAAGAGGUAGAUAGAAAGGGAGAGAGAGGAGGGAGAGAGGAGGGCUGGUAGGAUGGUGCUGGACUAGCUGCUCUGAGCGACAGGAGAGGGAGCAGACGGACAGACGGACCGCAGGAGGCCUGCCCCGAAGAGCCCUCGGAGGCGUCGCAGGAGCCUCUUGCUCAGCUUCCAGGACGAUGGGGACGCGGCCAGCCCAGAGCCAGGAGCCGCCUGAGAAGAUGGAGGGAACGCGCUUCCGAUUCCUGGACUGUUGGCCAAAAGCGACCAGGACCGGGCGGGGCCCGCCGGCAGCCGUACCUCCCCGCCCGCCUGACAGCGCGCCGCUGGCCGCCCUGGGCCGGGGCUGCGGCCGGAGCGGACGCCGGAGGCCGGCGCGCACGCGAAGGACCGGGACGAUUGCAGCAGCCUCGGGGCGGUUCCCAGCCCUUAAUUUAAAAAAGAAUUAACGGAACGAUUUCAAAGCCAUCAGCCCCCGCCUUCCUCCACUCCCACCAAAAUCGCCUCCCUUCUCUCUCUCCGGUCCAAGCGCGACCCGGAGCGGCAGCCUGUGCUCCGGUCUGGGCCGGCCCCGCCCUCCCGCCAGCGCGGCCUCCAGGGCAGCCCCGGCCCGAGCGCGGAGCGCCGUCCGCUCCGGUGGAGCCGCGAGGCUGCGGCCGCUCCACUUCCAGCCGGAACUGAGACUCUGCCUGGGAUCGCAGAAGCCCCAGCACCUUUGGGUGUUUCAGUGCAGUGGGUUCUUGGGCUACAACUCCCUCUCCGUAGAGCUGAGCCCUGAAGAUCUGCUACUAGGGAGGAUCCUAGGCCAAGCAGCAGCAGCGACUGGUCUGCCUGCCACUGCCACCUGCUAUGUGCACAGGUGAUGAUGCUUUUUUUUAAAUGUAUUUUAUUGAUUUUUUACAGAGAGGAAGGGAGAGGAAUAGAGAGUUAGAAACAUCGAUGAGAGAGAAACAUCAAUCAGCUGCCUCCUGCACACCCCCCACUGGGGAUGUGCCCGCAACCAAGGUACAUGCCCUUGACCAGAAUCGAACCUGGGACCCUUCAGUCCGCAGGCCAACACUCUAUCCACUGAGCCAAACCGGUCAGGGCGGUGAUGAUGCUCUUGAUGAAAAUCAGAAGACUCAUCACAGUCAGGUCACAGAAGCACCUGAGCAACCAGUGCCAGGGCCCCAGUUUAUGUUUAUAUGUUCAGGAGACCAGAUUCCAAAGGAUGCUCAUGCUGAGAUGACACAGGGUCUGACUUCAUCCCAAUUAAGUAGGCAUGGACGCCAAGGAAAGCUGAUUUAAGCAUUUGACUCAUAAUACACACCUAGAAUAUGGUGGUUUACUUAUUUAUAAUUCUUCAAAUUUAUUUUAAAAGAGGGGUCCAUAUUCUAAAAGAGACAUUUCUGUGGGCUAUAUCUAUGAUGCACCAAAGCAAUACAUUGGUUUACUUUUCAUCUGGGCUUUCUAUUAAGUUACCCAAAGGAGUAAAAAAUAGUGCGAAACAUCUUUCCUUAACACAAUAGCAUUUUAAUUUAUUCACAAAUAAGUCUACCAUACAUGUAGCAAAAGCUUAGCACCCCACCCUCCACUCUGUGUUCACAACAUAAUGAAUUCUGAAAUCUGUAAGAUGCAUAUUUUACUUAACUACUCAUCUAGGAUCCAUUCUUGCAUGCUUGGUCAGAACAGAAAAAUACCUAUUAACAGCAGCAGGUUACUUUACAGGUUCCGGAGCAAAUGUAUGUUAUACUUGCCAUCUAGAGAGCCAAGGUCUUAAUGUAUCCCAAGUGUCUAGGGCAGAAAGCAGUGACAGGAGGUGGAAUAUCUCUUGGUGUACGUACCUAAGUCAUUAUGCAUCCUCAGUGUGUGAGCUUAAUGAAGAGGCUGACAAUAAAGGGUUCAGUUAAAUUAAAAUCCACCUGCAAAGUAUACUUCAUUCAUAACAUCUAUUGUGUAAUAAAAGAAAUAUUAAUACAGCUCUUCCCAAACAUUCUGAUCUGUAAAAUGCGUGGGAUGGGUUCGUUGGUCUCUAACUCUUGUAGCUCCGAGAACUUGUGAAGCUGCUCUAAAGUAGAGGUACAGAACACGCUGGGGCCCUUGACUCCGGAGGUAUUGUAUUAAGACUUGUCCUUUAAAGUUAUAUUCAAUUCCACCUCCAGGUACUGUGUUUACUAACAUGUAGUUGUUUUGAUGCUAAAACAGUAAAGUUCAUUUUUAGGAAAGGCAGUGGCAGAGAGAGGAACAGCUGGAGAAUGAAAAAUGCUCUCAGUUCUAAGCCCACUUCCUGCAACGUAAGCAUAGAAGAAACCCAGACAAGUACCUGCCUCCCUAUUUUAUUUAUUAAAAAUCUUUAUUGUUGAAAGUAGUACAUAUGUCCCCGUUUUCCCCCCAUUGACCUCUUCUAGCCUGCCCCC
Long non-coding RNA from Myotis lucifugus (little brown bat), 2929 nucleotides. RefSeq lists it as uncharacterized. Lineage: Eukaryota; Metazoa; Chordata; Mammalia; Chiroptera; Vespertilionidae. The transcript has 3 exons. The record is from RefSeq and is a predicted model, not a curated record.